UUUGUGUCCGUGUGCACGUGGAGGGAGACAAACAUGCUAGUCCUGUUGCUCACUGUGGGCUUGAUACAGGAUGAUCUGCAGGAAGACAAAGACGAAUUGUACUUCAAAGAUAGAAAUGGGAUGUGUUGGUGGUACCUAAAGGUGUCUUUCAACUCUGACUUCUUGAGAAGAUUUACUGAUUCUACCUCUCCCCAACAUCUGAACAUCUGAACCUCUCCACCAGAAGACUAAUCACAGAACCCAAGAAGCAGUGCGGAAAUGAAGCUACAAGGAGCCAACACCUACUCUCACAGCAGGAGGCUCUCUGACCUCUGAAUGCCAUAAACCAGAUGCUGAGAGUCAGGAGGUCUGAGACAGGAGAGCAGAGAUGUUAGCAUUAGGAAGAACAGAGAAUGUCCCUCAUCUGCAAGAAAUGAGCAGCUAUAACUGUACAACUGCAGUGAAGUGGGAAAUCAAUGUUAAAUUACCAAAGCAAGUCUAAGAAACAUAAAUGCCAAAAAUACACGAUGUGAAAAAUAUCCAGAAACUGAACCUUUCAGGUGAUGAUGUUCAAGCAGGGAGAGAAACUGUGUGCAGCAGACAGAGGGUGGGUUUGUCCGUCUGGAUAUCUGGUAGAGAGGAAAGACCUGGAGAUCAUCUGGAUAGUUUAACUACAGGGAGGUGGGAGGUGGAGGAGUGUUCAGGUUCAUCUGUCCUGAUUUAUGACUGUCAGCCCUGAGAGGUGUUGCUACAGUUAAAAGCUAAUCUUCCAUUUCUUCUGGUCACAAUCAGAACCAGUGUAUGGUUGUGUGUUAGAUCUUAAAAACAAGAACCAGAAAAGUGCCACUACAGCCUCCUGAUGAGCAGCACAGAGACGGAUCCACUUAGCUAAAAUGUUCCAAACCACCAUAACCCCAUCAGAACAUCCUCUCAGCUCUGCACAUGGAGACAUUUUUAGGACAAUUUUAACUGUUUAUUGUUUUAUUGAAGUUUAUUUUCUCAUUAUUUGGUUUCAUGUAUUAAACUAAUUGACUAAUUUUUGCUGUUUAUUUAGGCUGAACAAAUUAGUAUGAUCUUAAAUGUGUCAAUUUGUCUGCCCUUAUGUUUGCUCUCCAAAUACUCCAAUAAGGAAGGUUUUAAUGGAACUGACACUUUAGACGCCUCCUGGAAUAUUUAUCCUGCUCAUAUCCGCUGAUGAAACCACCGAUCUGCAAUUAGAGAAUAGUAAUAAUAUGUCCUUCAUGUUCUUCAAACACAGAGUGCAGUACUUUAUCAUCUGAGAUUGUGUGGUAUGAGUGAAAGAUUUAAAGGCAUGCAGAUGGUCUGACCACCACAUCUGGAGAUGGGGUUGAUUCUGUUCCUGUUCACAUGUUUUAUCAUUUCAAAGGGAGUCAAUGUACCACAUUAUCAAAUAUAAUUACUUCACAUUUCCUUUCACUUUUAUUUAUGAACAACAC
Molecule: long non-coding RNA, 1436 nt
Organism: Girardinichthys multiradiatus
Lineage: Eukaryota; Metazoa; Chordata; Actinopteri; Cyprinodontiformes; Goodeidae
Exons: 3
Source: RefSeq, a predicted model, not a curated record